UACGUAGGUGGCAAGCGAUACUCGGAAUCACUAGGCGUAAAGCGCAGGUAGGAGGUUUAGUAAGUCUGUUGUGAAAGCUCCCGGCUUAACUGGGAGAGGUCAACGGAAACUGCUAGGCUAGAGUGCGGUAGAGGUAGCUGGAAUUCCCGGUGUAGCGGUGAAAUGCGCAGAUAUCAGGAAGAACACCCGUGGCGAAGGCGGCUCUCUGGAACGCAACUGACGCUGAGACGCGAAAGCGUGGGGAGCAAACAGG
This 253-nucleotide ribosomal RNA is filed under the name uncultured bacterium. RNAcentral describes it as "partial 16S ribosomal RNA". It matches the Rfam family "Bacterial small subunit ribosomal RNA", at positions 524 to 776 of the family's 1533-position model. The record is from RNAcentral.